AGUGAACGCUGGCGGUAGGCCUAACACAUGCAAGUCGAACGGCAGCACAGUAAGAGCUUGCUCUUACGGGUGGCGAGUGGCGGACGGGUGAGGAAUACAUCGGAAUCUACUUUUUCGUGGGGGAUAACGUAGGGAAACUUACGCUAAUACCGCAUACGACCUACGGGUGAAAGCAGGGGAACUUCGGACCUUGCGCGAUUGAAUGAGCCGAUGUCGGAUUACCUAGUUGGCGGGGUAAAGGCCCACCAAGCCGACGAUCCGUAGCUGGUCUGAGAGGAUGAUCAGCCACACGGGAACUGAGACACGCUCCAGCCUCCUACGGGAGGCAGCAGUGGGGAAUAUUGGACAAUGGGCGCAAGCCUGAUCCAGCAAUACCGCGUGGGUGAAGAAGGCCUUCGGGUUGUAAAGCCCUUUUGUUGGGAAAGAAAAGCAGCAGGUUAAUACCCCGCUGUUCUGACGGUACCCAAAGAAUAAGCACCGGCUAACUUCGUG
RNAcentral lists this ribosomal RNA (492 nucleotides) under uncultured bacterium. RNAcentral's name for it is "partial 16S ribosomal RNA". It matches the Rfam family "Bacterial small subunit ribosomal RNA", at positions 29 to 507 of the family's 1533-position model. The record is from RNAcentral.